AGGGCUUCCUCCAGUUUAUUUUGUCUUUCUACUGAUUUUCCACAAAUUGUGUCCCAUUUAUCCCUUAGUUCACUCAGCAUAUCAUCAAGCUUCAAAUUGUCAUCAGCCAAAGUGGUUUUCUCUUUCAAGGAGCGUCCAGUCCUGUUUGUGGUAUCGUACACAGAAUGUUUGGCACCAAGAGAUUUCUGGAAUUCCUUAUGCUGCGCAAGCUGCAUCUUUAUUUUGUCAGGGUCAUUUGCAAUUUCAAGAUCUGAGUCCAAAGAUUUCUCUGAUUCUUCCAGCCACUCCAUAAGUUUGUGCCAGGCUUCAUGGAACUGUUUGGCUCGUUUCCUUGCAUCAUCCAAAGCUCUUCCCCUUUCGACUAAGCGCUGAACUACUUUUUCCCAUCUACUUUGUACACUAAUCAGCAGAUUCUUAAUAAGGACUACAUCUUGUUUCUGGCUGAAGUAUUUCAAAUGGGUACCAGUUUUGUCCAGCUCUAUGAUCUGAUCUCG
RNAcentral lists this long non-coding RNA (494 nucleotides) under Gallus gallus (chicken). The record is from RNAcentral. Lineage: Eukaryota; Metazoa; Chordata; Aves; Galliformes; Phasianidae.